GUGGCUGUAGUUUAGUGGUGAGAAUUCCACGUUGUGGCCGUGGAGACCUGGUCUCGAAUCCCAGCAGCCACA
Non-coding RNA from Picea glauca (white spruce), 72 nucleotides. Lineage: Eukaryota; Viridiplantae; Streptophyta; Pinopsida; Pinales; Pinaceae. The record is from Rfam.